GGCUGUGUGGCGCAACGGUAGCGCAUCUGACUUCGGAUCAGAAGGCUGGGGGUUCAAGUCCCCUCACAGUCA
Non-coding RNA from Blepharisma stoltei, 72 nucleotides. The record is from the annotation of a GenBank genome assembly. Lineage: Eukaryota; Ciliophora; Heterotrichea; Heterotrichida; Blepharismidae.